This 575-nucleotide ribosomal RNA is filed under the name uncultured organism. RNAcentral describes it as "bacterial SSU rRNA". It matches the Rfam family "Bacterial small subunit ribosomal RNA", at positions 75 to 629 of the family's 1533-position model. The record is from RNAcentral.
CUCCUUCGGGAGCCUAGUAGAGUGGCAAACGGGUGAGUAACGCGUGGGUAACGUACCCUGAUCCUGGGAAUAACCGUCGGAAACGAGGGCUAAUACCGAAUGUGGCGAACGAACGGUUGGUCGCUCGCUAAAGGUGGCCUCUUCUAUGCUGCCGGGUUGGGAUCGGCCCGCGUCCCAUUAGCUAGUUGGUGAGGUAACGGCUCACCAAGGCCACGAUGGGUAGCCGGCCUGAGAGGGUGUACGGCCACACUGGCACUGAGACAAGGGCCAGUCCCCUAUGGGAGGCGCAGGCGGGAAUAGUUCACAAUGGGCGAAAGCCUGAUGACGCGACGCCGCGUGAGCGAAGAAGACCUUCGGGUUGUAAAGCUCUGUCAGGAGGGAAGAAGGCUCUACGGGUUAAUAGCCCGUGGAAUUGACGGUACCUCCAGAGGAAGCCCCGGCUAAAUACGUGCCCAGCAGCCGCGGUAAUACGUAUGGGGCAAGCGUUGUCCGGAUUUAACUGGGCGUAAAGGGGGCGUAGGCGGUUUGUUAAGUCGAAGGUGAAAUCCUCGGGCUCAACUCGAGAAUUGCCUUCG